GAUGAACGCUGGCGGCGUGCCUAAUACAUGCAAGUCGAGCGAACAGACGAGGAGCUUGCUCCUCUGACGUUAGCGGCGGACGGGUGAGUAACACGUGGAUAACCUACCUAUAAGACUGGGAUAACUUCGGGAAACCGGAGCUAAUACCGGAUAAUAUAUUGAACCGCAUGGUUCAAUAGUGAAAGACGGUUUUGCUGUCACUUAUAGAUGGAUCCGCGCCGCAUUAGCUAGGUGGUAAGGUAACGGCUUACCAAGGCGACGAUGCGUAGCCGACCUGAGAGGGUGAUCGGCCACACUGGAACUGAGACACGGUCCAGACUCCUACGGGAGGCAGCAGUAGGGAAUCUUCCGCAAUGGGCGAAAGCCUGACGGAGCAACGCCGCGUGAGUGAUGAAGGUCUUCGGAUCGUAAAACUCUGUUAUUAGGGAAGAACAAAUGUGUAAGUAACUAUGCACGUCUUGACGGUACCUAAUCAGAAAGCCACGGCUAACUACGUG
Molecule: ribosomal RNA, 497 nt
Filed under: uncultured bacterium
Lineage: Bacteria
Description: partial 16S ribosomal RNA
Rfam family: Bacterial small subunit ribosomal RNA
Source: RNAcentral